Molecule: long non-coding RNA, 1063 nt
Filed under: Sarcophilus harrisii (Tasmanian devil)
Lineage: Eukaryota; Metazoa; Chordata; Mammalia; Dasyuromorphia; Dasyuridae
Description: lncRNA (ENSSHAG00000028007.1)
Source: RNAcentral
CGUGUUUUGUUUGUUUUUUAUUUAAACUUUUCUUUUUCAAAGGGACUGAAUGAAGCUAUCCAGUGCAUUCUUUUGAAAUUAUUAUCUAACUUCUGUGUCUUUUCACUGAUGAAGCAGUGGAUCCAUUUGAGGCUCUCAUCUGGCAAAGGAAGGUUUAGUGGGCCUUCAUACUUAAUGGCAACCUUUACUUAAGUUUUUUUCCUCUCAAAAGUUUCUUAAAAGUAAAGAAUGUUAAAGUUGGUUUAUGGUGGUAUUUUUGCUAGCUAAGGCUAAGGGUAUAAUUGUGGAUUAAGCAUGAUUAGGCUUUUUUUUUUUUUUUUGAGGAGCAUAAAUAUUUAGUAUAUAAUCUCCUUCCUUAAGAUCUAAUUUAUUUAAUACAGUCCUAAGUGAAAUAGGUUUUCUAUUUCAUCUGAAGGUUAGGACUUAAUAAGUAUGCUUAAAUUUUUGUUUCAUGGGUUUCUCUUCAUUAUUUAAAACCUUGUUGCUAGCAUUUUUGUUUAAAAAUUGAUGUUCCUUAUUUUAGUGUCAAGCAGUGUCAUUUUAUUCACUUUUCUUCCUGUUCCAGCCUUAGAAUUCUUGCUCUAGUUAGUGAAUUACACAACUCAACAUUAUAAAGAGACACUGGUAUAAUAUUUGCAAAUCUUACUAGGCGUGGGAGUUAAAGUAGCCCUAAAUAGGUAGUUCUCAUAUAUAAAACUUAAGGGAUCACUUUUUUGAUCAUAACUGAAACAUCUUUUGUAGUCCCUUGUGACAGUCAUUUUUUUAUAGUAUUUGAUAACCCUCUUGUAAUACCAGAGAUUCUGGGAUAUACUUACUUGCACUUUAACCUUGAUUAAAAAAAUAAAUACUGUACUAUUUCAAUAAGAUGCCCUUCUUUUUUGUGGCUUUAAGUUUUGAGAACCACAUGACACUGACAGAAGGAAAACAAGGAUAUACUUUUUUGUAUGAAAAAGUUGUAUUAUUUUGUUUUCUAACUUUACCCCAGUGGUUGUUUUUUGGGUUUGGGUUUUUUGGUUAUUGUUGUUUUUUUUUUUUUGUUUUGUUUUGUUUUGUUUUGGUUGCU